GGGCCAGACUCCUACGGGAGGCAGCAGUGAGGAAUAUUGGUCAAUGGGCGGGAGCCUGAACCAGCCAAGCCGCGUGAGGGAAGAAGGUACAGCGUAUCGUAAACCUCUUUUGUCAGGGAACAAAGGCGGGGACUAGUCCCCGGAUGAGGGUACCUGAAGAAAAAGCAUCGGCUAACUCCGUGCCAGCAGCCGCGGUAAUACGGAGGAUGCGAGCGUUAUCCGGAUUUAUUGGGUUUAAAGGGUGCGCAGGCGGAGGUGCAAGUCAGCGGUCAAAUUGCGGGGCUCAACCCCGUACUGCCGUUGAAACUGGCGUUCUUGAGUGGGCGAGAAGUAUGCGGAAUGCGUGGUGUAGCGGUGAAAUGCAUAGAUAUCACGCAGAACUCCGAUUGCGAAGGCAGCGCACCGGCGCCCUACUGACGCUCAGGCACGAAAGCGUGGGUAUCGAACAGGAUUAGAUACCCUAGUA
This 466-nucleotide ribosomal RNA is filed under the name uncultured bacterium. Its description in RNAcentral is "bacterial SSU rRNA". It matches the Rfam family "Bacterial small subunit ribosomal RNA", at positions 328 to 792 of the family's 1533-position model. The record is from RNAcentral.